This 349-nucleotide ribosomal RNA is filed under the name uncultured bacterium. Its description in RNAcentral is "partial 16S ribosomal RNA". It matches the Rfam family "Bacterial small subunit ribosomal RNA", at positions 338 to 703 of the family's 1533-position model. The record is from RNAcentral.
CCUACGGGUGGCAGCAGUGGGGAAUAUUGCACAAUGGGGGAAACCCUGAUGCAGCAACGCCGCGGGAGGGAGGAAGGAUGUCGGGAUGUAAAGCUCUAUCAGCAGGGAAGAGAAAAGAAGGAACCGGAAAAAGAAGCGCAGGCUAACUACGUGCCAGCAGCCGCUGUAAUACGUAGGGGGCAAGCGUUAACCGGAUUUACGGGGUGUAACGGGAGCGUAGACGGAAAGGCAAGUCAGAAGUGAAAGCACAAGGCUCAACCAUGGGAAUGCUUUUGAAACGGGCAAACUAGAGUCCGCGAGAGGUAAGCGCAUUUCCUUGUGUCGCGGUGCACUGCUUCGAUCUUAGGAG